GUGGGGAAUAUUGCGCAAUGGGGGAAACCCUGACGCAGCAACGCCGCGUGAAGGAUGAAGGUUUUCGGAUUGUAAACUUCUUUGACGCAGGACGAAAUAAAUGACCGUACUGUGAAAACAAGCCACGGCUAACUUCGUGCCAGCAGCCGCGGUAAUACGAAGGGGGCUAGCGUUGCUCGGAUUUACUGGGCGUAAAGGGCGCGUAGGCGGACAUUUAAGUCAGGGGUGAAAUCCCGGGGCUCAACCUCGGAACUGCCUUUGAUACUGGGUGUCUUGAGUAUGAGAGAGGUGUGUGGAACUCCGAGUGUAGAGGUGAAAUUCGUAGAUAUUCGGAAGAACACCAGUGGCGAAGGCGACACACUGGCUCAUUACUGACGCUGAGGCGCGAAAGCGUGGGGAGCAAACAGGAUUAGAUACCCGAGUAGUCC
Molecule: ribosomal RNA, 428 nt
Filed under: uncultured bacterium
Lineage: Bacteria
Description: partial 16S ribosomal RNA
Rfam family: Bacterial small subunit ribosomal RNA
Source: RNAcentral